GAUGAACGCUGGCGGCGUGCCUAAUACAUGCAAGUCGAGCGAACAGACGAGGAGCUUGCUACUCUGACGUUAGCGGCGGACGGGUGAGUAACACGUGGAUAACUUACCUAUAAGACUGGGAUAACUUCGGGAAACCGGAGCUAAUACCGGAUAAUAUAUUGAACCGCAUGGUUCAAUAGUGAAAGACGGUUUUGCUGUCACUUAUAGAUGGAUCUGCGCCGCAUUAGCUAGUUGGUAAGGUAACGGCUUACCAAGGCAACGAUGCGUAGCCGACCUGAGAGGGUGAUCGGCCACCCUGGAACUGAGACGCGGACCAGACUCCUACGGGAGGCAGCAGUAGGGAAUCGUCCGCAAUGGGCGAAAGCUUGGCGGAGCAACGCCGCGUGAGUGAUAAAGGUCUUCGGAUCGUAAAACUCUGUUAUUGGGGAAGAACAAAUGUGUAAGUAACUAUGCACGUCUUGACGGUACCUAAUCAGAAAGCCACGGCUAACUACGUG
This 497-nucleotide ribosomal RNA is filed under the name uncultured bacterium. RNAcentral describes it as "partial 16S ribosomal RNA". It matches the Rfam family "Bacterial small subunit ribosomal RNA", at positions 28 to 507 of the family's 1533-position model. The record is from RNAcentral.